Molecule: ribosomal RNA, 419 nt
Filed under: bacterium
Lineage: Bacteria
Description: partial 16S ribosomal RNA
Rfam family: Bacterial small subunit ribosomal RNA
Source: RNAcentral
UGGGGGAUAUUGCACAAUGGGCGAAAGCCUGAUGCAGCGACGCCGCGUGGGGGAUGAAGGCCUUCGGGUUGUAAACUUCUUUUGCUCUGAACAAGGCGCACCAUGGGGUGUGUUGAGUGUAGGGGUUGAUUAGCGCCGGCUAACUACGUGCCAGCAGCCGCGGUAAUACGUAGGGCGCGAGCGUUGUCCGGAAUUAUUGGGCGUAAAGGGCUUGUAGGUGGCUGGUUGCGUCUGUCGUGAAAGCUCAUGGCUUAACUGUGGGUUUGCGGUGGGUACGGGCUGGCUUGAGUGCAGUAGGGGAGGCUGGAAUUCCUGGUGGAGCGGUGGAAUGCGCAGAUAUCAGGAAGAAUACCGGUGGCGAAGGCGGGUCUCUGGGCUGUUACUGACACUGAGGAGCGAAAGCAUGGGGAGCGAACAGG